Molecule: ribosomal RNA, 472 nt
Filed under: uncultured bacterium
Lineage: Bacteria
Description: bacterial SSU rRNA
Rfam family: Bacterial small subunit ribosomal RNA
Source: RNAcentral
UGGGGAAUAUUGGACAAUGGGGGCAACCCUGAUCCAGCGAUGCCGCGUGUGUGAAGAAGGCCUGAGGGUUGUAAAGCACUUUAGUUGUUGAGGAAGGUUGUGUGGUGAAUACCCGCAUGACUUGACGGUAAACAAAGAAUAAGCACCGGCUAACUCUGUGCCAGCAGCCGCGGUAAUACAUAGGGUGCAAGCGUUGUCCGGAAUUAUUGGGCGUAAAGAGCUCGUAGGUGGUUCGUCACGUCGGAUGUGAAAAUCUGGGGCUUAACCCCAGACCUGCAUUCGAUACGGGCGAGCUAGAGUGUGGUAGGGGAGACUGGAAUUCCUGGUGUAGCGGUGGAAUGCGCAGAUAUCAGGAGGAACACCAAUGGCGAAGGCAGGUCUCUGGGCCAUUACUGACACUGAGGAGCGAAAGCGUGGGGAGCGAACAGGAUUAGAUACCCGUGUAGUCCCUGAGCGGGCUGGCAAGGCGCAU